Molecule: long non-coding RNA, 836 nt
Filed under: Equus caballus (horse)
Lineage: Eukaryota; Metazoa; Chordata; Mammalia; Perissodactyla; Equidae
Description: lncRNA (ENSECAG00000054322.1)
Source: RNAcentral
CUAUUGCGAGGUGAUUGUUUGUCAUCAAAAGAUGCUUCCUCUUCUGGGAACUCCCAAGUGAAAAAGAACUGGCGCUGCGGUCCAGAGUCUCCUGACGCCUCCAGCUGCGGCUGAGGAACUUCCCGUCUCUACAGGGGCACACGGGUCAGUCCGCUCUGGCCUGUGGUGAUCUUCGUUAUUCCCUAUUUUCUCACAUUCAGAACCACUGGGGAGAAAAUUGUCCACAGACAGGUGAGUGAGCCGCAGGUGACGGAGAGAGAGACGGAAUCAAGCUGAGUCACGAGCUCUGAGAAACAAGGCACCUCAUCAGCUCAUUUCUAAGACUCUCCGCACAUGGUCUGCGAUCAGAAAAUACACGGUUUUCAUGGAUUUCAAAACCUCAAAAGACAGCGUGGUGGUAAAAGGAAGUUGGAUCUCAAAUCCGCCUGGAUUUAAAUCCUGGUGUCCUUACUGCUGGAUGUCCUUGAGCAAAUCACUUCCACAGAGACACGCCACGCCACGUGCAAAGCAGGAGAGAGGUGGGAACCACGCAAGUUAACUGCGGACACGUUGCAAGUGAUAUGGACCAUGAUAUCAGUUUCUCCACAUUAAACCCAGCAUAUGUGGGGUUAAAACCGAAACACUCAUUCCCUGCUUACUCUCUGGCUUCCUGACUCCAGAAUCCACUAUCCUCCAUGGAGACAGACACCGUCAAGGACAAGCACCUGGACUAUCUCCUCCCACAAAGAGAUAUGGGCUGGUGGGAAAGCUGCUGACCAGCAAGGUCAUGAGCUCCCUCCUCUCUGCAAGUGUCUCAAGGCCAAAGACAGGCUGGUGGUAAAGCUCCGACCAGCAAG